CUCAAACCACUAGAAGCAGGAUGGACUUAGAAACUCGUGAUGUUCCCAAGAAACAGACAAUACAUGCAAUCAGUCAGAAAAUAAGUGCAGAGUGAAGUAUGAGCAAAUAACAGACUGCAUGGAGAAGGAGGAACAUUCGCAAAGAAAGAGAGCUUGAAGUUCCCCAAGACAGAGUCCUCCAGAAGAUGGCAAUGAGAGAUGGUAUCUGAAUAUGCAGGAGGCCACAUCACAAAUGAGAAACUCCAAGUUCAGAAAACCUCCAUCUCUGACAGUCAGAAAGCAUGCAUGACCUUGCUUUCCCAGCCUUCCCAUUUGACUGUUCCCUGUACACAUGAUGCUGUAAGAUAUUCUCCAAAGGCCUUGUUCACAAGACAAGUAGACACCAUUCUCUAGGGAGGCUUGUCCUGCCACGGUCCCACCCCUUACUUCUACAACUAAACCCUGUGUUUUUAUUAGGGGGACAAAUGUCACCCAGCUGUACACCUGAGGCUCCUGGAAAGAAGGUAUGUUAGGUAGUCUAAGUAAGACUUUUUUAAGUUUCCAAGUGUAGAUUCUAUAAUGAUAUUUGUUGGAACAACUGAAUGAUGGAAAUCUAUAUGGUGUCUUAUUUGCCCAUACCAGAAAAGUAAGUACAGUGUGUGUUUUCCUUCCAGUUGAUGAGUAGUAUUCCAAGGAAUGGGAUGGGGAAACAUUCAUAGGUGUUUGUUUGUUUGUUUGUUUGUUUGUUUGUUUGUUUUUUACAGAAGUUCUGCCAAGCAAAAACCAGGCUAGGCUAACUCUUCAUUGUUUAGAAUUCUUUUGUCAGUCAACGUUAGGGUCAUCCAAAAGAGGAAGGGCUAAAUCACCACCCUGUCUUGAGGGGAGGCUAAGCAUACUUGAGGAAAAUACAGAGAAUUGGUGUCUCCUUGCCUCCAUUAUUUGGAGGUUGUGAGGUAUCCCUACAUCAGAUUCCUAUUCUUGUCCCUAAAAUUUGUUAUAAAUGUCAACAGAAAACAACACUAGUCUGGUCAGUUGUUCUUGUUGUUAUUGUGGUGAGAUGUGUGUGUGUCUUGGCUUUUUUGUUUGUUUGUUUGUUUUUCAACGUUUCCACUUUUCAGUAAUGCAGAAGAAAGUUCAAUUAAAGUAUUACCUUGACCAGAUUGGUUUGUGGUUGAGUCUGUGAUAAAUUGUCUUGACUGAUUAUUAAUGUGGGAGGACCCAGAACACUGUGGCUGGCACCAUAGCUGGCUAGAUGGGCCUGGGAUAUCUACAUGAAAGCUGGCUAAGCAAACUAGAGAGCAAGGUUACAUGUCCCUCCAUGGUUUUUACUUUAUUUUCUGUUUGAAAUCCUGCCCUGACUUCCUUCAGUGAUGAACUCUGACAUGGAAGUGUAAGCUAAAUUCUUUCUUUGCUUGAGUUGGUUUAGGAGGGGGCAUUCAUCCCAGCAACAGAAGGAACCCAGAACAUGCACCUUAACGCCCACACUCUGAGCACUGAGUAAGCUCCAGGAGGCAUAGUUGCUACUUCCCACUGAAACAGCUGGGGCCAGGCCAACUGCGUUCUUCAGUAGAUGGACUCCACAGCCUAAGGAAAUACGGGCUUGCUUCUCUUGGAGUUGGCGCCUAGUAGGAAAAGAGCUGCUGCUGUGAGUUUUCUCUUGACCACACCUCAAACUGCCAGGGUGACGGCAUGAUCAAAGACUGAAGAGGAACAGCAAGAGGAGGCAGGAGUGAGUCUGAAACACUGCUGCAAAGGACUACGAGAAGUCUUGCACUGUUCAGGAGUGGUCCUGCAGGAAUGUGCCUUCUUACUUAUGGGACUUUGUAUAUCCAGCAAAGACUUGGUUUGUAGACCUGAAACUCAGUUCUUUUGAAAAGGUGAGGAAUAGUGGCCACAGAGCACACAGGCAUUCUGAGGGAGGAAAGGGCUAAUGUACGAGUGGAGGCCACAAAAGGCCUGUUCGAAGCUGCAGAGGAAGCAGUGCGUACUCUUGCUAAGGAGAUAGUAGAGAGAGGCUUCCAUGGGGCAGUGGGGAGUGGAGCUAGGGAGCCACUAUUCCCAGAGAAUCAAAGCUGAUUGCUCCUCUAAAUAUUUAUUGACAUCUAAAUAUUCUGAUCUCAUUAUUCUUCAGGAUUCUUAGUAUCUGUGGUCAGCUGAUAAUGUACAUUCCCAAAGAUGCUCAUGCAGGACUCCCCAGCACCUCUUGAAGGAAAAACACCAUAUAUCAGGGAAGGAGACAUGGUCCAUGGACAUAAUAAAAGGUUUGAAAGCAAGAACAUUUGAGUUCUGGUCAUUGGGAACUUACUUCAGCCUGGUACUAGGGCACAUAUGCGGCAUUUGGAUUUCAGACAUAUAAUGUCUCAGAACACCCAGAAAAACACUCUGACUACUACUGUAGCUUGGACUUUUUUAUCCCUUCAAAUGCAAAAUGUUCCACAAUUCAAAACUUCUUGAGUGCUAACACAACACCACGAAUAGAAUACUUCACACCAUGAAAUUGUUCUAUGGGCAAUUUUUUUUAAAGUUGUGGAUAAAAUUACCUUCAAGAUAUAUGUAUAAGAUCUGUAUGAAGCAUAAAUGAAUACUGUAUUCACAAUGGGUUUCCCCUGAAGACAUGCAAACAUUUCAAACUCAUAAAUAGUUCCAUGUCUGAAAUGCUUCUGGUCCCAAGCAAUUUGAAUGAGGAGUUUUCAACCUAUACAAGCAAGGACACCAGGAGUAUGAUUGAGCUUCUAGACCACAUGACUAGCUCAUGGGUCUCUCAUGACUAAAGCACUGCUUGCUGUAGUUCUACCAAAACUGUACAAGAGGAGAUGGUGCACAAAGCUAACUGGGCUUACAGUAUUUCACAGAGAUGGAGAGGAAGUCAGUCAGCAUCCUGACUAUCGGAUCUAGAAUGAUAAAUAACAAUUUGCACAUGGAUCAAGGAGGCUGUCUAGGUUUGUGGAGAAGAGAAAUGGGAAACAGUGCAAGCAAAAGCCUGAGGACUAAAAGACAUGUAAGUUUGGAGACCAGGGAAGAGAUGUGUGGAGAAGAGCUUAUGCAGAGAGAACUGGGAGAUGAAUCUCACAAGAGUGGAGGGAAAGGCAAAGAUGUAGAACUCAGACUCUGGGUGCUGAGAAAUGGGAGUAAAUAUAGCCAAAUCCUCACUUAAUGGAUUGCUCCAGCUGUCAGCAAGGAGCAGUGGUAACCAUAUGGCCAGAGUCAGAGAGGAUAGGGGAAAUCAUUGGCUGUGAAUGCAGAGAGAAUUUCAACAGAGAGAAGGCACAGGAAGCCCUUUGCUCAGUCCAGUGUGUCCCCUGCCUUCUCUAUCACCAAGCCCUCUUUGGUGGUAGAACCACAUAGCCCACCAGCUUAGAGACUCCCGAUCACUUCCAGUCAUGCUCUGAAGAAAAGCAAGCCCAGUGUACACACAGCCCUUUCUGUGCUGGAGCUUCUGAGAGCUUGACUCGGACAGCUUUUCAAAUCUCUAUGAAAAUUCCUCCCUGACCUUUUCCAUCUUGAAGAAACUCUAUGGAAGAAGGAAGCUAAAAUGAGGGCACCAAAGACAAAAUCCUAACUCUGGAGAAAGCGGACUCUCUCUCUCUCUCUCUCUCUCUCAGCCCUCUUGUUUGCUAUGACUAAAAGCAAAAA
This is a long non-coding RNA of Mus musculus (house mouse), 3612 nucleotides long. RefSeq annotates it as predicted gene, 29835. The record is from RefSeq and is a predicted model, not a curated record. Lineage: Eukaryota; Metazoa; Chordata; Mammalia; Rodentia; Muridae. The transcript has 6 exons.